This 255-nucleotide ribosomal RNA is filed under the name uncultured bacterium. RNAcentral's name for it is "partial 16S ribosomal RNA". It matches the Rfam family "Bacterial small subunit ribosomal RNA", at positions 526 to 779 of the family's 1533-position model. The record is from RNAcentral.
CGUAGGGUGCAAGCGUUGUCCGGAAUUAUUGGGCGUAAAGAGCUCGUAGGCGGUCUGUCGCGUCUGCUGUGAAAACCUCGGGCUCAACCCGGGGCUGGCAGUGGGUACGGGCAGACUGGAGUGCAGUAGGGGAGACUGGGAUUCCUGGUGUAGCGGUGAAAUGCGCAGAUAUCAGGAGGAACACCGGUGGCGAAGGCGGGUCUCUGGGCUGUUACUGACGCUGAGGAGCGAAAGCGUGGGGGAGCGAACAGGAUU